RNAcentral lists this ribosomal RNA (502 nucleotides) under uncultured bacterium. RNAcentral's name for it is "partial 16S ribosomal RNA". It matches the Rfam family "Bacterial small subunit ribosomal RNA", at positions 30 to 523 of the family's 1533-position model. The record is from RNAcentral.
AUUGAACGCUGGCGGCGUGCCUAACACAUGCAAGUCGAGCGGUAACAGGUGUAGCAAUACAUGCUGACGAGCGGCGAACGGGUGAGUAAUGCUUCGGAAUCUACCUUAUGGUGGGGAAUAACUAGCCGAAAGGUUAGCUAAUACCGCAUACGUCCUACGGGAGAAAGCAGGGGAUCGCAAGACCUUGCGCCAAAAGAUGAGCCGAAGUCGGAUUAGCUAGUUGGUAGGGUAACGGCCUACCAAGGCGACGAUCCGUAGCUGGUCUGAGAGGACGACCAGCCACACUGGGACUGAGACACGGCCCAGACUCCUACGGGAGGCAGCAGUGGGGAAUAUUGGACAAUGGGGGAAACCCUGAUCCAGCGACGCCGCGUGUGUGAAGAAGGCCUGCGGGUUGUAAAGCACUUUUAGUGGGGAUGAAAUGUGCAGGGUUAAUACCUCUGCAUUUUGACCUAACCCACAGAAAAAGCACCGGCUAACUCUGUGCCAGCCGCCGCGGUAA